Molecule: RNA transcript, 2490 nt
Organism: Suricata suricatta (meerkat)
Lineage: Eukaryota; Metazoa; Chordata; Mammalia; Carnivora; Herpestidae
Gene name: translation initiation factor IF-2-like
Exons: 5
Source: RefSeq, a predicted model, not a curated record
CUGGCUGCAUGCAUUGUGGGAAAAGAAAACCACGGAUGGGGCCUGCCUAACACGUGACUGACACGUGCCUCUGACCACCCAUGCCUCUACUCCAGGCCUGAGUCACACUCGCGUGUCUGCGUCCUGGCUCACAGUGCCUUCUGGCAUCAAGGACCAUCCCUCUUGAAGUCUGUUCUUCAGAAAUUUGUCUACUGGAAAAAUCCUUCAAGGUUGGUUCAGAUGAAAACGCCCCAAUGCCCCUCAUUCUUGAGGCCCACGUGUUUCACGGGUGUUCACCCCCAGACCGCUGGCGAGUCCUCGUCGGCCGGCAGCACAUGGUGUCCUUCUGUCCAUCCUGGUGGGAUAUUCGUGUCCUCCUCCAACAACAGAGAAAUCUCAGCCACUGUCUCCUGGAGAGUGCCUCUCCCCUCUUCCUGUUCUCUCCUUCCAGGACUGUGGUCUGUUCUGACCUCUAAACCACUUCGUGUGUCGGCCUCCUGGUCUCUGUGUGCCUUUUAGCCCUGUUUUCCACGCCGCUAAGUCUCUCUCCUUGGGUGCUCCGUUCUCCCGAUUUAACCUCCUAUUACUCGGUAAUGCAUAUAAUUCCAGAUGUUCUGUUUGACUCCCUUGGAGCCACCUGGUCUGAUCUCGGGGGCUGGCCCUGUACUCACGCCGAACCUUCCGUCAUUUUUCCCAGAUGCAGAAAAUAAGUCCAUGCGGUGGACCCUUCCCAACAGCUGCAGAAUUUGCAUGUCUGGUUCUGCUGCUCUGCUGUUCGAAUCUUGCUGCUCACCCUCGAGCCUCAGUCAUGCUUGCUUGUGCGCUUGGGGGGUUUUCGUUGUGUUCCUGUGUAGCCGACGGCAGGAGUCCCAAACCCGAGAGGUUGAAGACUCCUUCCAGGAGGAGCUGCAGCUUGGCAUCGGCACCUGCUGGGAACCAGGAUCUCUGUGGACACUCGAUGUGUUGGGUCUUCCCGGGGCCUCGUCUCACACAGGAUGCCAUGGUGCACGCCGCCGGCUUGGGAACGCGUGUUGUGAGUGAGAGUUCCCACACACAGGGAACCUGCGUUAGAUUAUCAGAAAGACAAGUGUGAUCCAGCAUGGCCCUCCAGACCUUCACCCAGGAGCACUGACGAGUUCUGUGACCCGGCACAAAACCCCGUCCACAGACCCCAACAGCAGCUUGGUCCGCAUCAGCUCCGAGCGGAGAGUCCCCGCUGUCCUUCCACAGGCCCCUGGUCACGUGAACGUGCGUCCCCUGCUCAGGCCUGCACUGCCCCCACGAGAUGGUGCCGCGUAGAAAAUCAGUCUCCACUUACAUCAAAUUCUCAGAGUGACAGCCUGGGGGCAGGGCGAGGGCAGCGAGGCGCCCCUGGAGCUGGUGGCCCCGGUCUACGCACAGCAGCAGCAGCACUGGUCACGCCCACGCCCGCACGCGCACGCCACACCAGGCUCAGUGCUGGCUCUGGCCCAGGGCCGACCCAGUACCUGGACGAGCGCCCGGAGCCACGGCCUUUCACCAGCGGUGUUCUCCUCCACGCUGGGCAUCGAGGCCACAGUCGGCCCGAGGAUGCCACGUCCUGUUCUGGACCCUGCAGAUGUGGCCGCGCCUGGCACAAGGGACUCCCAGACGCUGCCUCGCACUGCGUGCAUGUUGGCCGUGGCCUAGCCUGCUGACACCCGUCGGGAGUUGAUAGACCCACGCUCUUCAUUUUCUGUAAUUCCUCGUCCACUGGGGAGAAGCGAUCUCUGGGACCCUGCAGCUCCUCCCGCAACUCCCUGCACGCGCUGUCGGAGACCCCCCCGUGGACACCCUCCUCUCAGCUCGGGCGGUGCCCCCCCCUCCCCCCCCCCGUGCAUGGGGCUGGGGGGCCCCGCACUCGCACACCACAUGGGCAGCAGGCAGCGUUCUUGGCUCCUGGUACAGACACCCCUGUUUAGAAACGGGAGGGGGGCUGGGAAGCCCACCCAGCCCCCAGAAGGCCCGGUGCCAGAGUUCCGUUGUACUUUAUCUGAAGCCGACAACAGAACUUCCUCCUGGGACACUGUUCGCAGCAGUGACUUAGGACCCCACCCGCUCCUCCCAGACUUCGCCAGGGAGAGCGCCCUGGAGAGGAGCGCCUCCCAUUCAGGCUGGGGAACACGGUAUUAAUCACACUUGUAGUUUUCUGCCUCAGUUUCUCCUACCCUCCCUUUUCUUUUUUCAAGUAAGUUUUCGGGGCAGGUUCCUCCAGAUGCACUGGAGCAACUUCGCUGCGGGAAGAGAGCAAGCUUCCCCCAGAGCCCCAGCGCUCCGGCGGCAGAAAUGAGCGGCUCUCGGGCGCAGCCUUGGAGACUCCCGGGUCCUGCAGCGGAAUUCUAGAACGGCAGCACCUGGUCGAGCAUUACGCGGAAGGCAGACUGCCCAGCGAGCCCAGUGACUGUGCAAAUCCUGUCCCUGCCCCCAGGGCGUGAGGGGAGGCCUGUUUAAAUGGUACGGCCAGGAAUAAAAGCAACGUCCUGACCCAGUUUC